UGCGUGGGCGGACUAAUAAGUCAGUGGUGAAAUCUCUCGGCUCAACCGAGAAACUGCCAUUGAAACUGAUAAGCUUGAGUGUAGUUGUAGUAGGCGGAAUAUAGCAUGUAGCGGUGAAAUGCUUAGAUAUGCUAUAGAACACCGAUCGCGAAGGCAGCUUACUAAACUAUCACUGACGCUCAUGCACGAAAGCGUGGGGAGCAAACAGGAUUAGAUACCCUGGUAGUCC
Molecule: ribosomal RNA, 229 nt
Filed under: uncultured bacterium
Lineage: Bacteria
Description: partial 16S ribosomal RNA
Rfam family: Bacterial small subunit ribosomal RNA
Source: RNAcentral